CAUUGCAUCUCUGGUUACCUCGAAGCAGUCCUCUGAAAAGCCAAACAGGUGUCAUUUAAAAGAAAGCCAUGCACACAAACACGGGGAGGCAGAACACUCCAUACCACAACCAGCUGAGCUGGAAUUGUGAAAGGAGAUCAAGGAAACCAGGUGCUCUUUUGGUGAAUCCCAGAGUAGAAGCUGGAGAACCCAGUCGCUGACUUCACACUGACUCUGUGGGGCUCUGAAGUUAGGCAGUAGGUUGCUGAAGCACAUCCAAAGACAAGACAGUUUCUAAACAUAGCCACACAGAGAUGCAAAUUUGCUAGGCCAGAAACCGCUGGCUUAAGCCAGGUGAAAACUCUUAAUAGAGCAAACUGAAACUUAAACAGAAUCACAAGAAUGCAGGUGGCUUUACAAAAUGUCUGCUGCUGGCUGACCAACCUGGGUAAUAGGAUUUAAUAAGGCAGAGACAUUUUUGCCUGCCUUCCUUUAAAGUUACAGCUGUUAUUAAUGGUCACUCUGUGAAACUAAUCUUUACCAUCUAAGUUUCUUUCAGAAUUUGGCAGCCAGCGGUAGUCAGCCCCUUCUGGAAGGUUCCAUUCCAGCCUCUCCUCUGCAGUGGCACCUUUAGUGAUCUGGAGACAGAAAACAAGAGAUCAGGGUGAGAGCUUGCAGAGAGGGGGAAGAGAUAUAAUAAUGCGAGCUGCCAGCAAACCAAAAUAUGUUCCAAAGACAGAAAAAAAAAUUCCAUGACAGACAUCAGGAACAGUUUCAUUGCCUUUUGGAGAGAUAACUGAAGCAGCAACAGAAGCAUAGAAUUUCAUAAGGCAGCGAGAUGUCCAGGUCUGCAAGAGAGAGGCUUGACAAUAGGCCUUUGUUUUUACCAUGUCA
This is a long non-coding RNA of Cuculus canorus (common cuckoo), 873 nucleotides long. RefSeq lists it as uncharacterized. The record is from RefSeq and is a predicted model, not a curated record. The transcript has 3 exons. NCBI's taxonomy places the organism in Eukaryota, Metazoa, Chordata, Aves, Cuculiformes, Cuculidae.